ACAGCAGCGCCGCGGUAAUACAGAGGAUGCAAGCGUUAUCCGGAAUGAUUGGGCGUAAAGCGUCUGUAGGUGGCUUUUCAAGUCCGCCGUCAAAUCCCAGGGCCCAACCCUGGACAGGCGGUGGAAACUACCAUGCUGGAGUACGGUAGGGGCAGAGGGAAUUUCCAGUGGAGCGGUGAAAUGCGUUGAGAUCGAAAAGAACACCAACAGCGAAAGCACUCUGCUGGGACGACACUGACACUAAGAGACGAAAGCUAGGGGAGCAAAUGGGAUUAGAUACCCGUGUAGUCCCUGUCUCUUAUACA
RNAcentral lists this ribosomal RNA (305 nucleotides) under uncultured bacterium. Its description in RNAcentral is "partial 16S ribosomal RNA". It matches the Rfam family "Bacterial small subunit ribosomal RNA", at positions 508 to 808 of the family's 1533-position model. The record is from RNAcentral.